ACCUGCGGCCAUGCCGCCCUGAACAAGCCCGAUCCCAUCUGAUCUCAGAAGCUAAGCAGGAUUGGGCCUGGUUAGUACUUGGAUGGGAGACCACCUAUGAAGACGAGAUGAUGUAGGCA
RNAcentral lists this ribosomal RNA (119 nucleotides) under Pteropus alecto (black flying fox). The record is from RNAcentral. Lineage: Eukaryota; Metazoa; Chordata; Mammalia; Chiroptera; Pteropodidae.